CUUCUCUUUCUGCUGCCACCUUGCCCCCUCUCUGUCAAUAAACCUCAUGUGGAACUGCUUGGCCUGGGGUUGUCCUUCUGAAGCUGAGUGACUGUCAAGAUCAUAACAGCGAGAAUGGCCGGCCUUAACUCACUAUGGAACUGUGGAUGACCUUAAUCUUCUCAUCAUUUUCCCUCCACUGAAGAGUGCUUGAGUUACAGGCAUGUGUGACCACACCCAGUUUUAUGAAGUGCUUUGAAUCACAAAGGAUAAGCUACAUCCUUAAUCUGCAACCACGUUUAGUAAGACUUGUGUUAUAAUAGGUUGUAGAAGUAAACAUGUUGACAAAAGAAUGUCUGAAUAAAUUAUGAAACAAUAUAUGGUUGCAAAA
Molecule: long non-coding RNA, 370 nt
Organism: Mastomys coucha (southern multimammate mouse)
Lineage: Eukaryota; Metazoa; Chordata; Mammalia; Rodentia; Muridae
Exons: 2
Source: RefSeq, a predicted model, not a curated record